AAGAAAGUAAGAAAGGGCGUAUGGUGGAUGCCUAGGCUCACAGAGGCGAUGAAGGACGUGAUAAGCUGCGAUAAGCUUCGGGUAGGUGCAAAUAACCUUUGAUCCGAAGAUUUCCGAAUGGGACAACCCGGCCGUCUGAAGGACGGUCACUCACGCUAAGCGUGAGAGCUAACGCAGGGAACUGAAACAUCUUAGUACCUGUAGGAAGAGAAAAUAAAUAAUGAUUCCCUUAGUAGUGGCGAGCGAACGGGGAACAGCCCAAACCGUGACUGUGGCAACGCAGCCGCGGGGUAGUAGGACCGCGACAUUGUAUGCAUGCAGUGAGCAGAAUCUUCUGGAAAGAAGAACCGCAGAUGGUGAAAGUCCAGUAUGCGAAGCUAAUUGCAACAUAGCGGUAUCCUGAGUAACGCGGAACACGAGGAAUUCUGCGCGAAUCCGCCGGGACCAUCCGGUAAGGCUAAAUACUCCUGUGAGACCGAUAGUGAACCAGUACCGUGAGGGAAAGGUGAAAAGCACUUCGAUAAGAAGAGUGAAAUAGUUCCUGAAACCAUACGCCUACAAGCGGUCGGAGCUGCUUUUUGCAGUGACGGCGUGCCUUUUGCAUAAUGAACCUACGAGUUACCAUCACCAGCAAGGUUAAGGGCCAUAAGUCCCCAAGCCGCAGUGAAAGCGAGCCUGAAUAGGGCGUAUAGUUGGUGGGGGUAGACGCGAAACCAAGUGAUCUACACUUGACCAGGUUGAAGUUCCGGUAACACGGAAUGGAGGACCGCACCAAUAAGCGUUGAAAAGCUUCUGGAUGAGUUGAGUGUAGGAGUGAAAGGCCAAUCAAACUUGGAGAUAGCUCGUAC
Molecule: ribosomal RNA, 848 nt
Filed under: Segatella salivae
Lineage: Bacteria; Pseudomonadati; Bacteroidota; Bacteroidia; Bacteroidales; Prevotellaceae
Description: partial 23S ribosomal RNA
Rfam family: Bacterial large subunit ribosomal RNA
Source: RNAcentral